GGGGGCGGUUGGUGUCCGGUGGCAUCCACGGUCUUCAAAACCGCUGUCGGAUCAGUUUGGUCCGAGGUGGGUUCGACUCCCAUCCACCCCCGC
Molecule: transfer RNA, 93 nt
Filed under: Chloroflexota bacterium
Lineage: Bacteria; Bacillati; Chloroflexota
Description: Chloroflexi bacterium (groundwater metagenome) tRNA-Sec
Rfam family: Selenocysteine transfer RNA
Source: RNAcentral